GUAUAUGUAGUAUAAGAAAAUAUGACAGGUUUAGGUCCUGUGGAUAAGGUGUAUACU
Molecule: transfer RNA, 57 nt
Filed under: Baylisascaris transfuga (bear roundworm)
Lineage: Eukaryota; Metazoa; Nematoda; Chromadorea; Rhabditida; Ascarididae
Description: tRNA-Leu
Source: RNAcentral